This 36-nucleotide ribosomal RNA is filed under the name Frullania microcaulis. Its description in RNAcentral is "partial 5.8S ribosomal RNA". The record is from RNAcentral. Lineage: Eukaryota; Viridiplantae; Streptophyta; Jungermanniopsida; Porellales; Frullaniaceae.
AAAUGGACUCUCAGCAACGGAUCUCUUGGCUCUUGC